AACGAACGCUGGCGGCAUGCCUAACACAUGCAAGUCGAACGAGACCUUCGGGUCUAGUGGCGCACGGGUGCGUAACGCGUGGGAACCUGCCCUUAGGUUCGGAAUAACUCCCCGACAGGGGUGCUAAUACCGGAUAAUGUCUUCGGACCAAAGAUUUAUCGCCUUUGGAUGGGCCCGCGUUGGAUUAGCUAGUUGGUAGGGUAAAAGCCUACCAAGGCGACGAUUCAUAGCUGGUCUGAGAGGAUGGUCAGCCACACUGGGACUGAGACACGGCCCAGACUCCUACGGGAGGCAGCAGUGGGGAAUAUUGGACAAUGGGCGAAAGCCUGAUCCAGCAAUGCCGCGUGAGUGAUGAAGGCCUUAGGGUUGUAAAGCUCUUUUACCCGGGAUGAUAAUGACAGUACCGGGAGAAUAAGCUCCGGCUAACUCCGUG
RNAcentral lists this ribosomal RNA (433 nucleotides) under uncultured bacterium. Its description in RNAcentral is "partial 16S ribosomal RNA". It matches the Rfam family "Bacterial small subunit ribosomal RNA", at positions 29 to 507 of the family's 1533-position model. The record is from RNAcentral.